GAUGAACGCUGGCGGCGUGCCUAAUACAUGCAAGUCGAGCGAACGGACGAGAAGCUUGCUUCUCUGAUGUUAGCGGCGGACGGGUGAGUAACACGUGGAUAACCUACCUAUAAGACUGGGAUAACUUCGGGAAACCGGAGCUAAUACCGGAUGAUAUUUUGAACCGCAUGGUUCAAAAGUGAAAGACGGUCUUGCUGUCACUUAUAGAUUGCUCCGCGCUGCAUUAGCUAGUUGGUAAGGUAACGGCUUACCAAGGCAACGAUGCAUAGCCGACCUGAGAGGGUGAUCGCCCACACUGGAACUGAGACACGGUCCAGACUCCGACGGGAGGCAGCAGUAGGGAAUCUUCCGCAAUGGGCGAAAGCCUGACGGAGCACCGCCGCGUGAGUGAUGAAGGUCUUCGGAUCGUAAAACUCUGUUAUUAGGGAAGAACAUAUGUGUAAGUAACUGUGCACAUCUUGACGGUACCGAAUCAGAAAGCCGCGGCUAACUACGUG
Molecule: ribosomal RNA, 497 nt
Filed under: uncultured bacterium
Lineage: Bacteria
Description: partial 16S ribosomal RNA
Rfam family: Bacterial small subunit ribosomal RNA
Source: RNAcentral